Long non-coding RNA from Mytilus californianus (California mussel), 414 nucleotides. RefSeq lists it as uncharacterized. NCBI's taxonomy places the organism in Eukaryota, Metazoa, Mollusca, Bivalvia, Mytilida, Mytilidae. The record is from RefSeq and is a predicted model, not a curated record. The transcript has 3 exons.
UCUGGAAACAAUGUCUCAUUUCUUUGGUAUGUUUCGCGCGUUUGUAGUCAUUUGCAAAGUAAACUUCAUUUGAUAAACCUCAUUAUUGUUAUCGCCUGUCUAUUUCUUGGUCGUCUAUUUAAAAUGAAACACUUAUCAAUUGUUGGAGCAUCUUUUGUCUUACUUCUGAUCUUUUCCUGUUUUCUGAAAGAACAUGGAGUUGAAGGACAACCAUCAAUCAGUGUAAAGGUGCGCAGUUGUAAAAGAUACUGCCGACGACCACCGUCAAAAUAUGGAUGUGAAAAUUGCUGUAGAGCGCAAAGUAGCAGAUACGACAAAGGACAAUGCUAUUAUAACUCGUGUUAUUGUUGGCAUUUGGUAUAAUUAUUAACCCUUAAUGUCAGUAUAAAUAAUAAUAAGAAAAAAAAAGAAAAA